AUUGAACGCUGGCGGCAUGCCUUACACAUGCAAGUCGAACGGCAGCACGGGUGCUUGCACCUGGUGGCGAGUGGCGAACGGGUGAGUAAUACAUCGGAACAUGUCCUGUAGUGGGGGAUAGCCCGGCGAAAGCCGGAUUAAUACCGCAUACGAUCUACGGAUGAAAGCGGGGGACCUUCGGGCCUCGCGCUAUAGGGUUGGCCGAUGGCUGAUUAGCUAGUUGGUGGGGUAAAGGCCUACCAAGGCGACGAUCAGUAGCUGGUCUGAGAGGACGACCAGCCACACUGGGACUGAGACACGGCCCAGACUCCUACGGGAGGCAGCAGUGGGGAAUUUUGGACAAUGGGCGAAAGCCUGAUCCAGCAAUGCCGCGUGUGUGAAGAAGGCCUUCGGGUUGUAAAGCACUUUUGUCCGGAAAGAAAUCCUUGGCCCUAUUACGGUCGGGGGAUGACGGUACCGGAAGAAUAAGCACCGGCUAACUACGUG
This 486-nucleotide ribosomal RNA is filed under the name uncultured bacterium. Its description in RNAcentral is "partial 16S ribosomal RNA". It matches the Rfam family "Bacterial small subunit ribosomal RNA", at positions 30 to 507 of the family's 1533-position model. The record is from RNAcentral.